CCCCACUCAGGGUCCCACCUGGAGAGUUUCCAGUACUCUACCAGUCUCGGCUAGGGGAGGGAGAGUCAAGCAGAGGCCUACCCGUUCCAUUCCUAGCUUGGCCAGUGGCUAGCGAAUGGAAGACAAACUGCCACAAGU
Molecule: small nucleolar RNA, 138 nt
Filed under: Ornithorhynchus anatinus (platypus)
Lineage: Eukaryota; Metazoa; Chordata; Mammalia; Monotremata; Ornithorhynchidae
Source: RNAcentral